GUGGGGAAUCUUGCGCAAUGGGCGAAAGCCUGACGCAGCCAUGCCGCGUGAAUGAUGAAGGUCUUAGGAUUGUAAAAUUCUUUCACCGGGGACGAUAAUGACGGUAUCCGGAGAAGAAGCCCCGGCUAACUUCGUGCCAGCAGCCGCGGUAAUACGAAGGGGGCUAGCGUUGCUCGGAAUUACUGGGCGUAAAGGGCGCGUAGGCGGACAGUUUAGUCAGAGGUGAAAGCCCAGGGCUCAACCUUGGAAUUGCCUUUGAUACUGGCUGUCUUGAGUACGGGAGAGGUGAGUGGAACUCCGAGUGUAGAGGUGAAAUUCGUAGAUAUUCGGAAGAACACCAGUGGCGAAGGCGACUCACUGGCCCGUUACUGACGCUGAGGCGCGAAAGCGUGGGGAGCAAACAGGAUUAGAAACCCGUGUAGUCC
Molecule: ribosomal RNA, 425 nt
Filed under: uncultured bacterium
Lineage: Bacteria
Description: partial 16S ribosomal RNA
Rfam family: Bacterial small subunit ribosomal RNA
Source: RNAcentral